GAUGAACGCUGACAGAAUGCUUAACACAUGCAAGUCAACUUGAAUUUGGGUUUUUAACUUAGGUUUGGGUGGCGGACGGGUGAGUAACGCGUAAAGAACUUGCCUCACAGCUAGGGACAACAUUUGGAAACGAAUGCUAAUACCUAAUAUUAUGAUAAUAGGGCAUCCUAUAAUUAUGAAAGCUAUAAGCGCUGUGAGAGAGCUUUGCGUCCCAUUAGCUAGUUGGAGAGGUAACGGCUCGCCAAGGCGAUGAUGGGUAGCCGGCCUGAGAGGGUGAUCGGCCACAAGGGGACUGAGACACGGCCCUUACUCCUACGGGAGGCAACAGUGGGGAAUAUUGGACAAUGGACCAAGAGUCUGAUCCAGCAAUUCUGUGUGCACGAUGAAGUUUUUCGGAAUGUAAAGUGCUUUCAGUUGGGAAGAAAGAAAUGACGGUACCAACAGAAGAAGUGACGGCUAAAUACGUG
This 467-nucleotide ribosomal RNA is filed under the name uncultured bacterium. RNAcentral describes it as "partial 16S ribosomal RNA". It matches the Rfam family "Bacterial small subunit ribosomal RNA", at positions 28 to 507 of the family's 1533-position model. The record is from RNAcentral.